GCCAGACAUGGCAGUGCACAUUUGUAAUCCCAGCUACCUAGGAGACUGAGGCUGGUUGAUCUGAGCUCAGGAGUUCUGAGCUGCAGUAAGCUAAGCAGAGUGGGUGUCUAUACUAAGUACAGUAUUAAAAUGGUGACCUCUUUGCCUAAGGAGGGGAACACCAACUAAGACUGAAAAUAGAGGAGGUCAAAGCUCCCAUGCUGAUCAGUAGUGGGAUUGGGUCCUUGAGUAGCUCCAGCACUUACCACCUGGAUGAGAUAGGGAGACCAAAUCUU
This 275-nucleotide signal recognition particle RNA is filed under the name Vombatus ursinus (common wombat). Its description in RNAcentral is "Metazoan signal recognition particle RNA (ENSVURG00010021130.1)". It matches the Rfam family "Metazoan signal recognition particle RNA". Rfam says of the family: The signal recognition particle (SRP) is a universally conserved ribonucleoprotein. It is involved in the co-translational targeting of proteins to membranes. Lineage: Eukaryota; Metazoa; Chordata; Mammalia; Diprotodontia; Vombatidae. The record is from RNAcentral.